GAAUUUUAUAUAAAUUUAUUUAAAUAUUUAAUAUAUAAAUUAUAUAUUAUAUUAUAUUAGUAUAAUCUGUAUUUUAUUUAGAAUAAAAAAUUAUAUUUAAUUGGGAGGAUUAUUAAAUUAAAUAAACUUUAAAUUAAAAUUAUUACAUAAAUAAAUGAAAUAAAAAAUUAUUAUUAUAAGAGUGAUUAGUAAAUUAAUAAAGAAAUAAUUACCUUAGGGAUAACAGCGUAAUAUUUUUGGAUAGAUCAUAUAAAUAAAAAUGAUUGC
RNAcentral lists this ribosomal RNA (267 nucleotides) under Cyphomyrmex rimosus. RNAcentral's name for it is "partial large subunit ribosomal RNA". The record is from RNAcentral. Lineage: Eukaryota; Metazoa; Arthropoda; Insecta; Hymenoptera; Formicidae.